UGACUCCAUACUUCCCACCGUGACAAUAAUGGACUAGACCUCUGAACCUGUUGUGUCUGAAGGACAUGAAGGCAGAAACGGGAGAAGGUGGGAAAGGAAGCAAGGUGUGUAUACACUACCAUCUCGAGUUAGCUUCAGGUUGGAUCUUCUGAUGGUGGAGGGGCAGGUUGUUCAUGGAACAGAAGUCGCGUUCCUGGAGGGCAAACAAAAAAGGCUUAUGGUGACCACGGAUUGUUUAUCUGAGGACCAGAUUCUAGGAUGUUGUACCGAGUGCACUGCAUGGCUCUCUCCCCGACUCUACAGUGUCUUAAAUUCCUACCUUGGCUCCAAGAGGCUGACGACCCAGAGACAUCUGACUGUAACUGAGCUGGACUCCCUCUGCCUGCUGGUCAGCAUACACAGCGCCUGAAGGUGCUAGGCAGCCUGCUGGAGCAGAAUCAUCGUCAGCGGGCUUACUCAGACAGUGCUGCCCCGACAUUGGGAAGAGAAGCUCCCUUUUGCAAAGGGUAGAAGCUAAUACAGAGACUUGUAUUUGGCAAAUGGGCCGAGAGUAAGUGACCUCCGAGUGCCCAGCUAUGUCACCCCACUAAAGGCCCUCGAAGCACUGUAGAAGAGGGAGCAGAAAGAGUGUAGGAGUUGAGGAUGGGGAGGAACACCGUGGAACACUUCCAUCCAGAUAGGAUGCGGCCAUCGGAGUCAGGCUUGCACAGUGGCUAUGCAUACCUAUACAAGUCUUACACAAGACCGGACCCGUCAACAUUCCAUCGUGGAUGGGGUAGGGUCCCAGGAGGCCCUCGCCCUUCCAGGGGAACUAGAAAGGGAUGGUGACAUUUUCUUCAGUGCUGUAGCCACUGGUUAGUUGCUCAUGCUCCAGCCAGUGGUCCCAGACCAUGUUGCAAGCAACCCUAAUUAAACUCAGUGGGUUAAAAAAAUAUCAGGAAGCAAAGAGUAAACAAUGGGAUCUGACACCCUGAUUUACAGAGAAUUAAAGCUUGUAGAGCUUCACGAUCCAAAAAGAAGGAGGAGGAGAAGGAGAGGCAGCAGCAGCAACAGCCAGGCUGGCGAGAUGGCUCUGCAGGUAAAGGCACUGCCAAGCCCGAUGACCUGAGUUCAAUACCUGGAACCCCCUGAGAAUUGUCUUCUACCUUCCACACACAUGCUGCAGAACGUAAACACAGGAGCACACAAUAAACAAAUAAGCAAAUAGACAGACUGCCUUAUGUAACAAUAUUAUACACAAUGAAAAAUUCUAAAAGAAAUGUUUUAAUCUUAUGAAAGACCAAAACAAAAUGAACAAAUCAAAUAACAAAAAUCAAGGGAAGCAUUUCUGAAACAGCCCUUACCCUUCUUGACCAUCCUACCUACCCGCCCUGUAUGGGAUGUGGAAAACUGAGGCUCGCCAGCCUUUUCUACUUGAAUGAAGAUUGUUGAGGAAAUAGUUUUGUUUCUCAUGAAAGUUAGUGAUUUUCAAGCUAUAGUUAUAUUUUGAAAGAAGCAGAGUUAUCAUUCAUUAGUUGGAGCAUGUUGCUUAACCAAAGUCUUUUUACUGUGUAAUUUCGUCAAAAGGAAGUAUCCUCAAAAUAAAAGAGUGAGUGAGUGAGAGUGAAAUUUUAGUUCCAAAGGAGAGUGAUUCCUAAAACAAUCCAGGACAGUUAUGUAAAGUUCUUUGGUAUUUCCGCCUUCAAAAAAAAUUAAAUUCAAGAAACGGACAAGAAGGAAAUAAAAAUCCACAGGAAAGACAAAGUCACCUGGAGGAUCAGAGGUUCUUAACAUCCCGUAGCCCCACAGGGUGUGGCACUAUUAGGAGGCGUGGCCUUGUUGGAGUAGGUGUGAUGCUGUUGGAGGACCUGUGUCACUAGGGGCGGUCCUCACUCAGAAGCCCAAGCCAGACCUGUUGUGUCUCAGUCUCUUCCUGCUGCCUGCAGACCCAGCUGCCUCUUCAGCACCAUGUCUGUGUGCCGCCAUGCUUCCU
This is a long non-coding RNA of Mesocricetus auratus (golden hamster), 1972 nucleotides long. RefSeq lists it as uncharacterized. NCBI's taxonomy places the organism in Eukaryota, Metazoa, Chordata, Mammalia, Rodentia, Cricetidae. The record is from RefSeq and is a predicted model, not a curated record. The transcript has 6 exons.